UUGCUGAACUAAACCAUUAAGCUUUUCAUUAAAAUUCUACACACAUUUAUGCUUGUUUUUUAACAGCAAUUCUGCAGAUAUGUUUGUAUAGGCCUUAUUGAAUCUUUUAUAAAUGGAAGAAAGCGGGAGAUCUCGGGUUCGGUCGACGGUUUCAUGGCAUCUAAACUCAGGGAACUCGGGCCAUCUGAAUACAACCCUUAUUUGAUUAUGAGGUUUGUAACUUUGUAUCAAUGACCAUAGAUAGGCAUGACAUGGAGAAAGAAAAGCUCUUUAUUCUGAUGUCAUCAGUUCUACACAAAUCAAGCAAGGGUGUGGAUUUUGUUGAUUUUUUAAUAGAUGUAGAUGAAGUUUUACGCAAUUUGCGAUCCAGGUUUAUUUUUUGUUUAAAUGCAGUUAAAUAAUUCAUGUGCUUUUGAGCAAUUUUAUGAUAUAAUUAGUGAUCUAUGUAUGAUGUUGGGAGAUAAACUUCAAACACAGGUAACUAACCAUGAGUUUUUUCGAUCAUAAACAUUGUAAAUUUGUAAUU
Long non-coding RNA from Helianthus annuus (common sunflower), 526 nucleotides. RefSeq lists it as uncharacterized. NCBI's taxonomy places the organism in Eukaryota, Viridiplantae, Streptophyta, Magnoliopsida, Asterales, Asteraceae. The record is from RefSeq and is a predicted model, not a curated record. The transcript is spliced from 3 exons.